AUGAGUGAGACAGAAAGAUUAUUAAUGGAAGAAGAAGAUAUUCAUACCAAGGAUGGAACAAUAGAUUACCAAAACAGGCCUGCAAUCAAGAAGAACACAGGAACAUGGAAAGCUUGCCCUUAUAUUCUAGGAAAUGAAUGCUGUGAAAGAUUGGCUUACUAUGGGAUCAACACAAAUCUGGUUAAUUACCUCAAGUUUCAACUGAACCAGAGGAAUGUGGUUGCUGUCAAUAAUGUCACAAAUUGGUCAGGCACUUGCUAUGUGACCCCAUUGCUUGGAGCAUUUCUAGCUGAUGCAUACUUAGGAAGAUACUGGACAAUUGCUGCCUUCUCCAUCAUCUAUGUUUUUGGAAUGACAUUGUUGACCUUAUCUGCAUCACUUCAAGGACUAAAACCUCCCUGUGACACAAACAAUGUGUGUCAUCCAACAGGGUUACAAGCAGGGGUGUUUUUUAUGGGGCUUUACCUCAUAGCACUUGGAACUGGAGGCAUAAAGCCUUGUGUCUCAUCAUUUGGGGCAGACCAAUUUGACGACUCUGAUGAGGCUGAGAAAAAGAACAAGGGAUCCUUCUUCAACUGGUUCUAUUUCUCAAUCAACAUUGGUGCCCUUGUGGCUUCCUCUGUGCUUGUGUGGAUACAAACAAACGUUGGAUGGAGUUGGGGCUUUGGCAUCCCAGCUGUGGCCAUGGCACUUGCUGUUGUGAGCUUCUUUUUGGGUACCCGGUUGUAUCGAAACCAGAGGCCUGGUGGGAGUCCCCUGACUCGCAUUUGUCAAGUGUUUGUUGCAUCCUUCGGGAAAUUCAGAGUAAAAGUUCCUGGUGACAAGUCUCUGUUGUAUGAAACUGCUGAUGAGGAACCUGUAGUCAAAGGAAGCAGAAAGCUUGAUCAUACAGAAGAGUUAAGUUUCUUGGAUAAGGCCGCGGUCGAGACUCCAUCAGAUAAAAUCAAAGACUCAGUGAUGGCAUGGAGACUCUGCACUGUGACCCAAGUUGAGGAGCUCAAGUCCCUAGUAAAGUUGCUUCCCAUAUGGGCAACUGGCAUAAUCUUCUCAGCAGUCUACAGUCAAAUGGGGACAUUGUUUGUGCUCCAAGGCAACACAAUGGACCUCCACGUCACCAAAUCCUUUGAAAUCCCAUCUGCCUCACUCUCCCUCUUUGACACAAUCAGUGUCAUCUUCUGGGUUCCUGUUUAUGACCGUUUGAUAGUUCCAUUUGUGAGAAAAUUCACAAAAAGAAACAAUGGCUUCACCCAACUCCAGAGAAUAGCAAUUGGGCUUGUGAUCUCCAUUUUUGCCAUGUUGGCAGCAGGGACUUUGGAGCUUGUGAGACUAAAUGAAGUGAGAAAGCACAAUUAUUAUGACCUCAAGCACAUGCCCAUGUCCAUAUUUUGGCAGGUUUUUCACCUUCAUUGGGCAAUUGGAGUUUUUUUAUGAGCAGGCUCCUGAUGCCAUGAGGAGCUUGUGUUCUGCUCUUUCUCUCACAACUGCUGCUUUGGGCAGCUAUUUGAGCACCAUGCUUGUCAAUAUUGUGACUGAUGUGAGCACCAGAGAUGGCAAGGCUGGUUGGAUACCAGAUAACUUGAAUUAUGGUCACCUUCACUACUUUUUCUGGCUUUUGGCUUGCUUGAGUGUGAUGAAUUUAGGGUUCUAUCUUUUGGUUGCUAGAUGGCACACUUACAAGAGGGCAGUGGUGCCUAAUCAUUGA
Molecule: RNA transcript, 1702 nt
Organism: Prunus persica (peach)
Lineage: Eukaryota; Viridiplantae; Streptophyta; Magnoliopsida; Rosales; Rosaceae
Gene name: protein NRT1/ PTR FAMILY 8.1
Exons: 4
Source: RefSeq, a predicted model, not a curated record